GCGGGGUUGUGGCCGUGUUGGACGGUAGAACGUUCAAGUUCCUGUCGAGCCAGGUGGACCGGGGGCUUGGACGUUUUCGGGGCGCAUUACGUCUUUCCAAGCUGGCUGUGCGGGUUCGAUUCCCGUCACCCGCUCCA
RNAcentral lists this transfer RNA (137 nucleotides) under Muricoccus pecuniae. RNAcentral's name for it is "tRNA-OTHER". The record is from RNAcentral. Lineage: Bacteria; Pseudomonadati; Pseudomonadota; Alphaproteobacteria; Acetobacterales; Roseomonadaceae.